This 200-nucleotide ribosomal RNA is filed under the name uncultured bacterium. RNAcentral's name for it is "partial 16S ribosomal RNA". It matches the Rfam family "Bacterial small subunit ribosomal RNA", at positions 30 to 232 of the family's 1533-position model. The record is from RNAcentral.
AUUGAACGCUGGCGGCAUGCCUUACACAUGCAAGUCGAACGGUAACGCGGGGCAACCUGGCGACGAGUGGCGAACGGGUGAGUAAUAUAUCGGAACGUGCCCAGUAGUGGGGGAUAGCCCGGCGAAAGCCGGAUUAAUACCGCAUACGACCUACGGGUGAAAGCGGGGGAUCGCAGGACCUCGCGCUAUUGGAGCGGCCG